Molecule: ribosomal RNA, 406 nt
Filed under: Netelia sp.
Lineage: Eukaryota; Metazoa; Arthropoda; Insecta; Hymenoptera; Ichneumonidae
Also listed under: 1 other name
Description: eukaryotic LSU rRNA
Source: RNAcentral
AGAUCGAAUGGGGAGAUUCAUCGUCAGCGAGCCUGGUACGUGUGCGGCUCGCGAUGCCGGGGACCUCGGUCCUUUGGCACGCGUCCGCAUUGUUUUAUUGCCGGGUUUCGUCGGCGUGCACUUCUCCCCUAGUAGGACGUCGCGACCCGUUGGGUGUCGGUCUACGACUCGGGUGGGCGCCUGUCAUGUGUCACGCUUCACGGCGUCGCGUGGCAGACCCCCGGUUGUCUGACCGGCUGCCCGGCGGUACUCGCACGGUAUCGGGCCGCAAAUAUUCGAACUGCGUCCGGCCCGCCGCAAGCGAGGUCAGUGUUUCCCGGAUGUGCGGACUUAACGCCGUCACCGGGCCUGGCCAGCUGUUGGUCGGCGGUGUCCUGGGACUGGCUCUAAAUUAAAUUAUGAUACC